AGCGAACGCUGGCGGCAGGCUUAACACAUGCAAGUCGAGCGGGCGUAGCAAUACGUCAGCGGCAGACGGGUGAGUAACGCGUGGGAACGUACCUUUGGUUCGGAACAACACAGGGAAACUUGUGCUAAUACCGGAUAAGCCCUUACGGGGAAAGAUUUAUCGCCGAAAGAUCGGCCCGCGUCUGAUCAGCUAGUUGGUGAGGUAACGGCUCACCAAGGCGACGAUCAGUAGCNGGUCUGAGAGGAUGAUCAGCCACAUUGGGACUGAGACACGGCCCAAACUCCUACGGGAGGCAGCAGUGGGGAAUAUUGGACAAUGGGCGCAAGCCUGAUCCAGCCAUGCCGCGUGAGUGAUGAAGGCCCUAGGGUUGUAAAGCUCUUUUGUGCGGGAAGAUAAUGACGGUACCGCAAGAAUAA
RNAcentral lists this ribosomal RNA (416 nucleotides) under uncultured bacterium. RNAcentral describes it as "bacterial SSU rRNA". It matches the Rfam family "Bacterial small subunit ribosomal RNA", at positions 29 to 489 of the family's 1533-position model. The record is from RNAcentral.